Molecule: ribosomal RNA, 460 nt
Filed under: uncultured bacterium
Lineage: Bacteria
Description: partial 16S ribosomal RNA
Rfam family: Bacterial small subunit ribosomal RNA
Source: RNAcentral
CCUACGGGAGGCAGCAGUGAGGAAUAUUGGUCAAUGGACGGAAGUCUGAACCAGCCAUGCCGCGUGCAGGAAGACGGCUCUAUGAGUUGUAAACUGCUUUUGUACAAGGGUAAACCUGAAUACGUGUAUUCAGCUGAAAGUACUGUACGAAUAAGCAUCGGCUAACUCCGUGCCAGCAGCCGCGGUAAUACGGAGGAUCCAAGCGUUAUCCGGAUUUAUUGGGUUUAAAGGGUGCGUAGGCGGAUUGAUAAGUCAGAGGUGAAAUGUCCGAGCUUAACUCGGGAACUGCCUCUAAUACUGUUGGUCUAGAGAGUGGAUGCGGUAGGCGGAAUGUAUGGUGUAGCGGUGAAAUGCUUAGAGAUCGUACAGAACACCGAUUGCGAAGGCAGCUUACCAAUCUAUAUCUGACGUUGAGGCACGAAAGCGUGGGGAGCAAACAGGAUUAGAUACCCCAGUAGUC